RNAcentral lists this ribosomal RNA (1372 nucleotides) under uncultured bacterium. RNAcentral describes it as "bacterial SSU rRNA". It matches the Rfam family "Bacterial small subunit ribosomal RNA", at positions 28 to 1381 of the family's 1533-position model. The record is from RNAcentral.
GAUGAACGCUGGCGGCGUGCCUAAUGCAUGCAAGUCGAGCGAACGGACGAGAAGCUUGCUUCUCUGAUGUUAGCGGCGGACGGGUGAGUAACACGUGGAUAACCUACCUAUAAGACUGGGAUAACUUCGGGAAACCGGAGCUAAUACCGGAUAAUAUUUUGAACCGCAUGGUUCAAAAGUGAAAGACGGUCUUGCUGUCACUUAUAGAUGGAUCCGCGCUGCAUUAGCUAGUUGGUAAGGUAACGGCUUACCAAGGCAACGAUGCAUAGCCGACCUGAGAGGGUGAUCGGCCACACUGGAACUGAGACACGGUCCAGACUCCUACGGGAGGCAGCAGUAGGGAAUCUUCCGCAAUGGGCGAAAGCCUGACGGAGCAACGCCGCGUGAGUGAUGAAGGUCUUCGGAUCGUAAAACUCUGUUAUUAGGGAAGAACAUAUGUGUAAGUAACUGUGCACAUCUUGACGGUACCUAAUCAGAAAGCCACGGCUAACUACGUGCCAGCAGCCGCGGUAAUACGUAGGUGGCAAGCGUUAUCCGGAAUUAUUGGGCGUAAAGCGCGCGUAGGCGGUUUUUUAAGUCUGAUGUGAAAGCCCACGGCUCAACCGUGGAGGGUCAUUGGAAACUGGAAAACUUGAGUGCAGAAGAGGAAAGUGGAAUUCCAUGUGUAGCGGUGAAAUGCGCAGAGAUAUGGAGGAACACCAGUGGCGAAGGCGACUUUCUGGUCUGUAACUGACGCUGAUGUGCGAAAGCGUGGGGAUCAAACAGGAUUAGAUACCCUGGUAGUCCACGCCGUAAACGAUGAGUGCUAAGUGUUAGGGGGUUUCCGCCCCUUAGUGCUGCAGCUAACGCAUUAAGCACUCCGCCUGGGGAGUACGACCGCAGGGUUGAAACUCAAAGGAAUUGACGGGGACCCGCACAAGCGGUGGAGCAUGUGGUUUAAUUCGAAGCAACGCGAAGAACCUUACCAAAUCUUGACAUCCUUUGACAACUCUAGAGAUAGAGCUUUCCCCUUCGGGGGACAAAGUGACAGGUGGUGCAUGGUUGUCGUCAGCUCGUGUCGUGAGAUGUUGGGUUAAGUCCCGCAACGAGCGCAACCCUUAAGCUUAGUUGCCAUCAUUAAGUUGGGCACUCUAAGUUGACUGCCGGUGACAAACCGGAGGAAGGUGGGGAUGACGUCAAAUCAUCAUGCCCCUUAUGAUUUGGGCUACACACGUGCUACAAUGGACAAUACAAAGGGCAGCGAAACCGCGAGGUCAAGCAAAUCCCAUAAAGUUGUUCUCAGUUCGGAUUGUAGUCUGCAACUCGACUACAUGAAGCUGGAAUCGCUAGUAAUCGUAGAUCAGCAUGCUACGGUGAAUACGUUCCCGGGUCU